Dama dama (fallow deer) is the source of this 500-nucleotide long non-coding RNA. RefSeq lists it as uncharacterized. The transcript is spliced from 3 exons. The record is from RefSeq and is a predicted model, not a curated record. Lineage: Eukaryota; Metazoa; Chordata; Mammalia; Artiodactyla; Cervidae.
CUGACGAAGGGACCCAGAAUGGACUUCCCUUCACCUAAACUCUUUGAGGAACUAGAGCCUUGGCACCAUCUGCCCAUCUGCCUCCUUGGACAGUCCAGACAAAUUGGGGUUUCUACCUAAGCUCUCCUGCAAACAAGAUUUCCCACACAUCAGACACAUUUGAGCCACCCUGAGCACUCACUCAGGUCCUUGGCCACAGUGCUGGUUCCGGUUCACACUGCAUAGACUGCCCUCUGUUCAGCUCCUCACCGGCCUCCCAGAUGGAACACCAGAGACAUUUCACAAUUCUUCAUGUGUUCCCCACUGCCUUCAGGGAAAAACAUCCCCAGGAAAACUAGAGGCAUUUUCCUAAAGCAGACAGAAGGACGUGAGAAACAGUUGUAUGGUAUGGCUGGAUCACAGAUGGAAGGAAUUUAAAAUUCACUAUGGCAAUUGAAAGGGCUGAAAAAAAAAUCACCUAUUUCUGUAAUGGCAGACAUUCUAGAAGCAUCACACAUGAA